This is a long non-coding RNA of Amphimedon queenslandica, 1140 nucleotides long. RefSeq lists it as uncharacterized. The transcript is spliced from 2 exons. Lineage: Eukaryota; Metazoa; Porifera; Demospongiae; Haplosclerida; Niphatidae. The record is from RefSeq and is a predicted model, not a curated record.
GUGAUAUUAAGGUAAGAAUUAACACACAAACUGUUUGAUACAUUAAUACAAGCACUAAUAAUCAAAAGGUCAUAUCUUUAAAAGGUAUUUAUUUUCUUAUCAAAACUAUUGUCUUUGUCAUAAUUAUGGGUUGUCAUUGUGUGGCUUUUACUACUAAUAAUAUAUAGUAUAAUAUACAUAAUAUACAAUAUACAAUAAUAUAAUAUAAUAUAAUAUAUAUAAACCUGCUUAAUCGCAAUAAUUGGUCACCCUUGGGCCAGUUUUAAAUGGCCUGAUUAUGCAGGUGGCUGCAUUACAGGUCAGCCUCUGUAAUACAGCCAUUUAGUACAGGUCUUGAUUGGGAUUUUGGCUUAUGGCUGUAAUAGAGAGGUGGCCUCACUACUCAGGUGACCUUUAGCACAGGUUCCACUGUACCUGUACAUCUGUUAAACUCACCUUUCACAAUACACUACUGAUGUACAUCACCUUGAUAAUCAAGCACAAUGAAAAAUAUCAGUUAUUAUUAUUAUAUUGUAUAGGAAGUGAUUGAAAUAACUGAAGAAUUCAAGACAUCAUUGACUCCAAUAAAGCUAGAUAUUAAAGAUCUUGAUAUUGCCAUAAAAGAAUUAACAUCAGAUCAACAGUUGCCCUGUUCUGUAUGGCACAGACUAGGUCUACAGUUAGGAUUAUAUGAUCCUAGACUAGUGGAUAUAGACAAGAAGAAUAGAGGAGAUCCAGUGGAGUGUUUCCGUGAGUGUAUGUCUGCCUGGUUAAGAGGAGAAGAUAAAGUGAGAGAGAAAGGAGGUCCCAGUUGGUCAUCAUUAGCUACAGCACUGGAUACAAUAGAAGAGAAAUCUUUUGCUAGUUACAUUAGAAAUAAAUAUUGUCAAUAAUUAGUUAGUGGAUGAUUGUGUAUAGUAUUUCAUUUUGUUCUGUUUAUUAUUAUUUUUGCUGAUACUUGCUGAUUCAUUUGUUAAUUAGUUGAGUUGUAAAAGCUGAGCUGUCAUCAUGUACUAAUUUCCCUAUCUCUAUAAUUAGAAUUAUCACUGAUAGUAUCAAACUAUGUUUAUUAUUAGUAACAUUGUUAUUUGAAUAGUUAUUGUUAGUUUCAAACUAUGUUUAUCAUUAAUGUUGUUAUUGGUAUAGAGUUACUAUGAACUA